AGUAACGCGUGAGCAAUCUGCCCAUAUCAGGGGAAUAACAGUUAGAAAUGACUGCUAAUACCGCAUAGGACCACGGGGAGGCAUCUCUCUGAGGUGAAAGAUUUAUCGGAUAUGGAUGAGCUCGCGUCCCAUUAGGUAGUUGGUGAGGUAACGGCCCACCAAGCCGACGAUGGGUAGCCGGCCUUAGAGGGUGAUCGGCCACAUUGGAACUGAGACACGGUCCAAACUCCUACGGGAGGCAGCAG
This 245-nucleotide ribosomal RNA is filed under the name uncultured bacterium. RNAcentral's name for it is "partial 16S ribosomal RNA". It matches the Rfam family "Bacterial small subunit ribosomal RNA", at positions 109 to 354 of the family's 1533-position model. The record is from RNAcentral.